GAUGUUUUGUUUGGUUGUGUGAAAGGGAUGAGAGAGUGGAUGUGCUGGUUAACUCUUGCAUAAGGGAGUUGGACAGUACAGGGAUGAAAGAGUGGAGAUGCUGGUUAACUCUUGCAUAAGGGAGUUGGACAGCACAGGGAUGAAAGAGUGGAGAUGCUGGUUAACUCUUGCAUAAGGGAGUUGGACAGCACAGGGAUGAGAGAGUGGAUAUGCUGGUUAACUCUUGCAUAAGGGAGUUGGACAGUACAGGGAUGAAAGAGUGGAGAUGCUGGUUAACUCUUGCAUAAGGGAGUUGGACAGCACAGGGAUGAAAGAGUGGAGAUGCUGGUUAACUCUUGCAUAAGGGAGUUGGACAGCACAGGGAUGAAAGAGUGGAGAUGCUGGUUAACUCUUGCAUAAGGGAGUUGGACAGUACAGGGAUGAAAGAGUGGAGAUGCUGGUUAACUCUUGCAUAAGGGAGUUGGACAGUACAGGGAUGAAAGAGUGGAGAUGCUGGUUAACUCUUGCAUAAGGGAGUUGGACAGCACAGGGAUGAAAGAGUGGAGAUGCUGGUUAACUCUUGCAUAAGGGAGUUGGACAGCACAGGGAUGAAAGAGUGGAGAUGCUGGUUAACUCUUGCAUAAGGGAGUUGGACAGCACAGGGAUGAAAGAGUGGAGAUGCUGGUUAACUCU
Long non-coding RNA from Eriocheir sinensis (Chinese mitten crab), 672 nucleotides. RefSeq lists it as uncharacterized. The record is from RefSeq and is a predicted model, not a curated record. The transcript has 2 exons. Lineage: Eukaryota; Metazoa; Arthropoda; Malacostraca; Decapoda; Varunidae.